RNAcentral lists this long non-coding RNA (299 nucleotides) under Elaeis guineensis (African oil palm). RNAcentral's name for it is "long non-coding RNA (EGUI_LNC054365)". Lineage: Eukaryota; Viridiplantae; Streptophyta; Magnoliopsida; Arecales; Arecaceae. The record is from RNAcentral.
GUUGUCUUCUUAAUCAAAGAGUGUGGAGAUACUGUUAUGGUAUGUAGAUAGAAUAUAAGAGUACAUUCGCAUCAAACGUGACCAUGUACCGAGUACUCUGCUGUCAAGAGAGCUUAUGAAGGGUAUAGAUAUAAGUGUUCCUCCGAUCUGAGGCCACCACGGUGACUUGAAAGUAACUCACUAUACUUUAGUACCAAACUAUUUGAGUUUCUAACUUAGCAACAAAAAGAUACUAGGUACAGUCAAAUACUUAUCAAGUCGGUGUGUGAGUCAAGAUGGAAUUGAUCCCUCUGAAUUGG